RNAcentral lists this unclassified non-coding RNA (295 nucleotides) under Hevea brasiliensis (rubber tree). The record is from RNAcentral. Lineage: Eukaryota; Viridiplantae; Streptophyta; Magnoliopsida; Malpighiales; Euphorbiaceae.
AAAAGCGGGAGCAGGAACGACAAAGGCAGGAAAAGCUUGCAGAAACUAGUAGGAUAAGCCGUCAUAGACAUCGCAGUCAUAGUAGAAGCCGCAGCAGAAGCAGAAGUAGAAGCCGUUCUCCUCCAAGAAGGCACAGGAGAAGCAGAAGUCGGAGUAGGAGUCCUCGCAGAUAUAGUUCGCGAUCUCGUACCCGGUCACACUCUCGAUCACACUCCCCAAGGUAUAGGAGUCGCUCCAGAUAUUAGGUUUUGAGAAGCAUAUGGCUGCAGUGGCAAGGUUUUGUUUGUGAGUUUGA